This is a small nuclear RNA of Sphaerodactylus townsendi, 107 nucleotides long. The record is from RefSeq and is a predicted model, not a curated record. Lineage: Eukaryota; Metazoa; Chordata; Lepidosauria; Squamata; Sphaerodactylidae.
UUGCUUCUUUGGCAGCUCAUGUAUUAAAAAUUGGAACAAAAUACAGAAGAUUAGCAUGGUCCCUAGACAAGAAUGAUACACAAAUUCACAAAACAUUCCUUUUACUG